UUUAUUUAUUUUGUUGAUUUAUUUUAUUUGUUUAUUGACAUUGGUGUUCUUAUGUGUUUUGGAUCUAUUAGGUUUAGCUUGAGUUUGAUGCAAUUAGGGUUUGAUUCUGGGUUUUGGAUCUAAAAUGGAUCGUGGGUUAUUGAUUAAUUGGAGUUUGAAUUUGUGGUUCUUUUGGUUUUGGUUUUGUUUAAUUGUAUUGUGUUGAACUGAAGUGCAUGCACUUUGUUUUUGUAAGAUGAAGUUGCGGAUUAUGUUUUAGAUCUUGUUUGGUUUUGUUAAUGAUACAUUGGGAUUGUAAUACAUGCAUCAAGUUAUGAUUUUUUGGAAUUUUGAUUGUAAUUUUGACGUGUUUUUUAAUCUUAUUUUCUUAGCUUGAUUUAUACAUGAGGAUAACAUGUAUAAUUUUCCUUUUUUGUUAUCCAACAAUUGUUUAUGCAUUGGACCUACUGGCUGCAUGGGAUAAAGUUCUUUUUUCCAUAUUGUCUACUUGGGAUUUUGUUUCAGGGUAGUUGUUUAUUGAUGAAUGUAAUACCAGUUAAGUAGCUUUUCACCUGUUGUAACCAUUCAGGUUCAGGGAUAUGUACAUUGCUACUGAGGUUGUAGCACUUGUUAUGGUUGGCUAUUUUUUCAUUUUGGCAGUUCAAUUUCUGAGCUCAGAACAUAUUAAAAAUGGCUUAAGCCCAGACUACUUUGAGUUGACUGUUUAUUAAUCACUAUGUGGAGAUAGGUUAGUAAGCUCAUUAUGAAUUCUGUUGCAUUGCUAUGGAAAUUGGGAUUAAUGUGGUUAUCAAUCAUCUCUGAUCUUGAUAUCAUAGAUAUUAAGAAGCAAUAAUUUUUGGUGCAGUCUGUAGACAUACUUUAAUCUCAGACUCUAUCAUUCAUAUUAAGGAGCAAUAACCUUUGAUGGAAUCUGUGGACAUAUUUAAACCUUGGCCUGUAUCUAUGUUGAUUUGAUUAUUAUAUGCAUGAGGAGAAUCUGGAUACAAAUUUCAGGAUUAAUAUGUUAUGUUGACUCUCUUUCGUGGGUGGAAAUCAAAACAAAGGGGUUUCACUAUCUAGUGCUUUGACAAGAAUGAGGGUUCUGAUCUGCAUGAGACAUCACAAAUGAAGUAACAGACACUGGAAACAAAUUAAAUAAUUUGGGACAGAAAUCAACUGCAAUGGGAUGCCAAAAGGAGUGGUCACAAGAUGUGAUAGAGGAGCACGAACAAUGUUAUGAUUCUUAAAACAAUUGUAGGUCAACAUGUAGACCAUGAUUUCAGAUUUCAUGGAGGAUAAAGAGCCCUAGAAGACAUUAAUGAUGAGGUGAUUUAAGUUGAAUACUUUAUAUCUCAAGUGUGUGGUCCCAAAGACAUUUGAACACUUGACCCUUGGUUGAAGCUAAAGGGCUUUUACCUCUUAGACUGAAAGGUAAACUUCAGAAUGUAGGGUUGCCAUUAGAUGGUCCUGAUGGAGAAGUAUAUUUACUUUAUUAUCCAUGUAAACCAUGGAAGAGUUGAAGACAUGUGCUCAAGAAGGUAGAUGAUUAAGGCAAUUCAAGUUGAAAUCUUCUUCCUGCAUGUGCUUGUCCGUCAUGGGUCAAAUCUCUAUAAUUUUUCUUUUCACAAGGAUUGUGGCACUAGGAAGUCUUUUAAGUAGAACAAUCAACAAUCAAAAUGAGCUGGAAAUUGUUAUUCGCUUGAUGCUCUAGCUUCAGGCCUAGAGGAACUGAUGCAUUAGUAUUGAGACAGUUGACACAGAGCAGACAUUCGGUGGGCAUGUGAAGGUGUAAUCCUUCAGCUGAUAUAUGGAAUAUAUGUACAUAUAUAUAUUUUGGUGAACAAAAA
Molecule: long non-coding RNA, 1826 nt
Organism: Mangifera indica (mango)
Lineage: Eukaryota; Viridiplantae; Streptophyta; Magnoliopsida; Sapindales; Anacardiaceae
Exons: 2
Source: RefSeq, a predicted model, not a curated record